This 460-nucleotide ribosomal RNA is filed under the name uncultured bacterium. Its description in RNAcentral is "bacterial SSU rRNA". It matches the Rfam family "Bacterial small subunit ribosomal RNA", at positions 29 to 479 of the family's 1533-position model. The record is from RNAcentral.
AUUGAACGCUGGCGGCAUGCUUUACACAUGCAAGUCGAACGGCAGCGGGGACUUCGGUCCGCCGGCGAGUGGCGAACGGGUGAGUAAUGCAUCGGAACGUGCCUAUCAGUGGGGGGAUAACGCUUCGAAAGGAGUGCUAAUACCGCAUAUUCUCUGAGGAGGAAAGCAGGGGACCUUAGGGCCUUGCGCUGAUAGAGCGGCCGAUGUCGGAUUAGCUAGUUGGUGAGGUAAAGGCUCACCAAGGCGACGAUCCGUAGCGGGUCUGAGAGGAUGAUCCGCCACACUGGGACUGAGACACGGCCCAGACUCCUACGGGAGGCAGCAGUGGGGAAUUUUGGACAAUGGGCGAAAGCCUGAUCCAGCCAUGCCGCGUGAGUGAAGAAGGCCUCGGUUGUAAGACGUCUUCUAGGUGGAAGGAAAGACGGAUGGGUUAAGUACCUCGUCCGGACGUGACGGUACC